CCUCCGACUGCAGUUGCAUUCUAUAAUGAGAAAAUUUCGAGCAAGAGCAGAAAUUAUAUGAUUUCUGUUUUAUUUAUAUUAGCCACGGCUUAAUAUCUUUGAGUCGAUUUUCCGACAGUGGUCCACAUCAAAUUUUCGUUCGAUUCGGUUCAACAUAAUUUUCUAUCGGGAGUGAAAGAAGUGAUUGGACACGUUUACACUGAAAACGUAAAAUACUAU
This is a non-coding RNA of Cinara cedri, 219 nucleotides long. NCBI's taxonomy places the organism in Eukaryota, Metazoa, Arthropoda, Insecta, Hemiptera, Aphididae. The record is from the annotation of a GenBank genome assembly.